UACGUAGGGUCCGAGCUUUGUCCGGAAUUAUUGGGCGUAAAGAGCUCGUAGGCGGUUUGUCGCGUCUGCUGUGAAAUCCCGAGGCUCAACCUCGGGCCUGCAGUGGGUACGGGCAGACUGGAGUGCGGUAGGGGAGAAUGGAAUUCCUGGUGUAGCGGUGGAAUGCGCAGAUAUCAGGAGGAACACCGAUGGCGAAGGCAGUUCUCUGGGCCGUAACUGACGCUGAGGAGCGAAAGCGUGGGGAGCGAACAGG
RNAcentral lists this ribosomal RNA (253 nucleotides) under uncultured bacterium. Its description in RNAcentral is "partial 16S ribosomal RNA". It matches the Rfam family "Bacterial small subunit ribosomal RNA", at positions 524 to 776 of the family's 1533-position model. The record is from RNAcentral.